AGAGUUUGAUCCUGGCUCAGGAUGAACGCUGGCGGCGUGCUUAACACAUGCAAGUCGAACGUGAUGGGGAUUUCGAUUCCCUGAAAGUGGCGAACGGGUGAGUAACACGUAGGUGACCUGCCCCGAGGUGGGGGACAACCAUUAGAAACGAUGGCUAAUACCCCGUAGUCCUGCUGACGUUGGUGGUUGGCAGGUAAAGCUCCGGCGCCUUGGGAGGGGCCUGCGGUCGAUUAGCUAGUUGGUGGGGUAACGGCCCACCGAGGCGAUGAUCGAUAGUUGGUCUGAGAGGACGAUCAGCCACACUGGGACUGAGACACGGCCCAGACUCCUACGGGGGGCAGCAGUGAGGAAUAUUGGACAAUGGGCGCAAGCCUGAUCCAGCAACGCCGCGUGGAGGAUGAAGGUUUUCGAAUUGUAAACUCCUUUUCUGGGGGAAGAGCAAGGACGGUACCUCAGGAAUAAGUCACGGCUAACUACGUGCCAGCAGCCGCGGUAAUACGUAGGUGGCUAGCGUUAUCCGGAAUUACUGGGCGUAAAGCGCGCGCAGGCGGUCAACCAAGUCUGACGUGAAAGCUCCUGGCUUAACUGGGAGAGGUCGUUGGAAACUAGUUGGCUUGAGGCAGUGAGAGGGGUGCGGAAUUCCCGGUGUAGUGGUGGAAUGCGUAGAUAUCGGGAGGAACACCAGUGGCGAAAGCGGCACCCCGGCACUGACCUGACGCUCAUGUGCGAAAGCGUGGGUAGCGAACGGGAUUAGAUACCCCGGUAGUCCACGCUGUAAACGAUGAGUACUAGGUGUAGGUGGUAUCGACCCCAUCUGUGCCGAAGCAAACGCGAUAAGUACUCCGCCUGGGGACUACGGCCGCAAGGCUAAAACUCAAAGGAAUUGACGGGGACCCGCACAAGCAGCGGAGCGUGUGGUUUAAUUCGAUGCGACGCGAAGAACCUUACCUGGGUUUGACAUGCAUGUAGUAGUGAAGCGAAAGCGGAACGACCCUUCGGGGAGCGUGCACAGGUGUUGCAUGGCUGUCGUCAGCUCGUGUCGUGAGAUGUUGGGUUAAGUCCCGCAACGAGCGCAACCCUCGUCGUUAGUUACAAGUGUCUAGCGAGACUGCCGAUUUCAAGUCGGAGGAAGGUGAGGACGACGUCAAGUCAGCAUGACCUUUAUACCCAGGGCUACACACACGCUACAAUGGGCGGUACAAUGGGCAGCGAAAGGGUGACCUGAAGCUAAUCUCAUCAAAGCCGUUCGUAGUUCGGAUUGGAGUCUGCAACCCGACUUCAUGAAGGUGGAAUCGCUAGUAAUCGCGCAUCAGCCAUGGCGCGGUGAAUACGUUCCCGGACCUUGUACACACCGCCCGUCAAGCCAUGGGAGCCGGGGGUACCUGAAGACGGUGACUUUACAGGGAGCUGUCUAGGGUAAAACUGGUGACUGGGGCUAAGUCGUAACAAGGUAACCGUA
RNAcentral lists this ribosomal RNA (1459 nucleotides) under uncultured bacterium. RNAcentral describes it as "bacterial SSU rRNA". It matches the Rfam family "Bacterial small subunit ribosomal RNA". The record is from RNAcentral.